RNAcentral lists this ribosomal RNA (899 nucleotides) under uncultured bacterium. Its description in RNAcentral is "bacterial SSU rRNA". It matches the Rfam family "Bacterial small subunit ribosomal RNA", at positions 505 to 1402 of the family's 1533-position model. The record is from RNAcentral.
GUUUCAGCAGCCGCGGUAAUACGUAGGGUGCGAGCGUUAUCCGGAAUUAUUGGGCGUAAAGAGCUCGUAGGCGGUUUGUCGCGUCUGUCGUGAAAGUCCGGGGCUUAACCCCGGAUCUGCGGUGGGUACGGGCAGACUAGAGUGCAGUAGGGGAGACUGGAAUUCCUGGUGUAGCGGUGGAAUGCGCAGAUAUCAGGAGGAACACCGAUGGCGAAGGCAGGUCUCUGGGCUGUAACUGACGCUGAGGAGCGAAAGCAUGGGGAGCGAACAGGAUUAGAUACCCUGGUAGUCCAUGCCGUAAACGUUGGGCACUAGGUGUGGGGACCAUUCCACGGUUUCCGCGCCGCAGCUAACGCAUUAAGUGCCCCGCCUGGGGAGUACGGCCGCAAGGCUAAAACUCAAAGGAAUUGACGGGGGCCCGCACAAGCGGCGGAGCAUGCGGAUUAAUUCGAUGCAACGCGAAGAACCUUACCAAGGCUUGACAUGUUCUCGAUCGCCGUAGAGAUACGGUUUCCCCUUUGGGGUGGGUUCACAGGUGGUGCAUGGUUGUCGUCAGCUCGUGUCGUGAGAUGUUGGGUUAAGUCCCGCAACGAGCGCAACCCUCGUUCCAUGUUGCCAGCACGUCGUGGUGGGGACUCAUGGGAGACUGCCGGGGUCAACUCGGAGGAAGGUGAGGACGACGUCAAAUCAUCAUGCCCCUUAUGUCUUGGGCUUCACGCAUGCUACAAUGGCCGGUACAAUGGGUUGCGAUACUGUGAGGUGGAGCUAAUCCCAAAAAGCCGGUCUCAGUUCGGAUUGGGGUCUGCAACUCGACCCCAUGAAGUCGGAGUCGCUAGUAAUCGCAGAUCAGCAGCCGCGGUGAAUACGUUCCCGGGCCUUGUACACACCGCCCGUCAAAC